ACGCUGGGAGCUGUAGACCGGAGCUGUUCCUAUUCGGCCAUCUUGUCUCCUCCCGUGUUUUCCAGGUGUAUUCCACAUUGUCUCUACUAGUGAACUAGGAUAAUCCAUUGUGUAUCUCAACCUCCUUCACUACCCUGUGAAAGUCACAUGUGAGAAGAAGCAUCACAGAUGAUUCCAUGGAGAACAUCCUGGAAGUUCUCCAAAUGAACUGGAAAUUCCCUGUCUCCCCUUAACCAGCACUGGAAGCAGAUGGGAAGAGAAUAGCUGUGACUGACUCACACUCUAACCCAGCAACCCUCAGCAUACAAGUGGGAGACCAUAAAGUUUUUCAAGACCCCAAAAGAGGCCAAAGGUCUGAUAAUUGCUGGGAGAAGGUCCACUAUCCAAGAAGAGAAGAGGAAAAGGAAUUAAAGUCUCCAAGCACUGGGGAUGCAAGAAGAGAGUUGCACAGGAGAGAAAGAAGAAGUUGUCCACGGGGUGACCCUGCAAUUGGAGGGAAAUGCAUGUGGAUAUGUGCAGGGAGUCUAGGAAGUGAAGCCUUAGUGAUCAUUUACAAGAAUGAGGGUUAGGUAAAAUAAGGGA
This 582-nucleotide long non-coding RNA is filed under the name Homo sapiens (human). RNAcentral describes it as "non-protein coding LINC00491:8". The record is from RNAcentral. Lineage: Eukaryota; Metazoa; Chordata; Mammalia; Primates; Hominidae.